RNAcentral lists this ribosomal RNA (372 nucleotides) under uncultured organism. Its description in RNAcentral is "partial 16S ribosomal RNA". It matches the Rfam family "Bacterial small subunit ribosomal RNA", at positions 527 to 896 of the family's 1533-position model. The record is from RNAcentral.
GUAGGUGGCAAGCGUUAUCCGGAAUUAUUGGGCGUAAAGCGCGCGCAGGCGGUUUCUUAAGUCUGAUGUGAAAGCCCACGGCUCAACCGUGGAGGGUCAUUGGAAACUGGGGAACUUGAGUGCAGAAGAGAAAAGCGGAAUUCCACGUGUAGCGGUGAAAUGCGUAGAGAUGUGGAGGAACACCAGUGGCGAAGGCGGCUUUUUGGUCUGUAACUGACGCUGAGGCGCGAAAGCGUGGGGAGCAAACAGGGAUUAGAUACCCUGGUAGUCCACGCCGUAAACGAUGAGUGCUAAGUGUUAGAGGGUUUCCGCCCCUUAGUGCUGCAGCUAACGCAUUAAGCACUCCGCCUGGGGAGUACGGUCGCAAGACUG